UGCAGGUGGGUUGAGGCUGCAGCAGUACGACAAGUAAAGGUCCCUUCUCCACAUUGCGCACUAGAAAUCCCCGCAUUUCACCCGUCCACCUAUCCUUUCUUUCUCACACUUCUCCCUCCUCCCGCAACCUCAUCCCCACAAAAACAAACCUCAUCCCCAGCCCCCCAUCAUCCUUCUAUACUGCGCACCCACCCGGAAUCAAUCUCAAUCGUACAGGCCUCAGGUCACCUGGGGUAACAGGCAUGUAUGCGUGUCCCCGUUCCAUGUCUACAGGUGCUGCUUUAUUUAUGUGCGAUUGGGAGCCUUGCAUCUCACCGACCUUUUUCCUACGUAUGGGUUUCCUGGAAGUCUGUUUGCUUAACAAAAUAGUGCGUGGCUCUGCGCGUGUUCGCAUGUGUAAUACGGUUUUUCGUGGAGUAGUUGCCUUACCGCUUAGGGAUCGUCCAGGCGGAGAGGUACCUGCAGGCAGGGAAGUUGUGCUUGCUUCCGUAGGUGGGGGCAAGUAUGGUCACCGAAGCGACUCUGCUGCUGUACGCUGUAGAUUAGGCAGAAGCCGCAGCGGAAACCUGUCAGUACUGACACUAUGAACUCGCAAAAUUACUCUUUCCGUCGCACUCCUGCGACUUACUCUAGCCCUGUACGG
RNAcentral lists this long non-coding RNA (643 nucleotides) under Volvox carteri. Its description in RNAcentral is "long non-coding RNA (VCAR_LNC001658)". The record is from RNAcentral. Lineage: Eukaryota; Viridiplantae; Chlorophyta; Chlorophyceae; Chlamydomonadales; Volvocaceae.